Molecule: long non-coding RNA, 539 nt
Organism: Bos taurus (domestic cattle)
Lineage: Eukaryota; Metazoa; Chordata; Mammalia; Artiodactyla; Bovidae
Source: Ensembl
GGCAUGAUGAUGAGGAAAAGGGUAGAUAACAGAGCUAAAAGACAAUCUGUGUUGUGCGUGGGGGAGAGUUGUGAUGUUAUGACUAGACAGGAGAGCUGGCAUCGGGUGGUAAAGUCUGUGAAUGCCCUCCUGAAGAAGUGCAGCUCCUGAGCUAUAGGUAAAGGAAAUCAUCAGAAAGAUUUUGAGCAAGGAAAUGAGGAUAACUAAACUGUCCUUUCCAUGAGGAGGAACUAAAAUAUGAACCAGCCAGAAAGAAGAGAUUUGGUUGACCAAGACAUGUCUUAGAGUUUGGUCAAGGGCUCUGCUCACAGGUUUCUACACUUGUACAAAUGCUGAAGAUGGAAAGGCCUUUCCUGAUUUGUUUGGAGAAUUGAAAUAGAAUUUUGCUUUCUUGCUGGAGGUCUCCAGAGGGGAUAGUCUCAUGAGAUGGAGCAAUUGAUCACAUUUGAUGGUUACCAGCUGGAUAAUGCACCUUCAAAUGGACUUUCCCCACUUCCUUGCCUCGUUUUACUAUUGCCUGCUUCCUUGAGGUUGAACCC